Long non-coding RNA from Haliotis rufescens (red abalone), 1661 nucleotides. RefSeq lists it as uncharacterized. The transcript is spliced from 11 exons. NCBI's taxonomy places the organism in Eukaryota, Metazoa, Mollusca, Gastropoda, Lepetellida, Haliotidae. The record is from RefSeq and is a predicted model, not a curated record.
CAUACACCGACACACAUGCAACAAAUGCCAACCUAACAGUUACUAAUACUUGCAAGGAUACAGGUUUCAAUAAGUAAAGACACUGCAACCACUGAUGGACUAUAAUCAAAGUGGAUGCAUUGGAGUCAAAUACAGACAGAAAUGGUGAUACAUUUUAUUUUGAUUAUCAUCAGUGUAAAAGAGUUGCAUGCUGAAGAAAAAUGUCCAGAUGGUAAAUUUGGAAAGAAAUGUGAGACAAACUGUUCCGAGCAGUGUGCACCUAUACCCAAUUCUACAAACAUCCACUGCUUUCGCGGCACAGGGGAGUGCUCGGAGGGUUGCCUUCGAGGCUGGUACGGGUGGACUUGCAACAACAGGUGUGGGGGUAACUGCGUUGGUGACAUCUGUAAUCAACACAAUGGACAUUGUACAAAGUCCUGUAGGAACAACUACUCGGGCAACUUUUGUGACGUUUCAUAUGAAACAGAACAAGCUUCGACUCAUGGAUAUGUAAUAAGUGUAAUUGUCGUCACCGUCCUUGCAAUCCUCGUUGGAGUCGCUGUUUGUGUGAAGUGUACAUCCCGGGCACGCAGUACCAAUGGGGCGACGGAUGCAACAAAUGAAGAAAACAAUCUGAUCCAAGAAAAUCCGGGUAUAGAAUUGGACACGUCAGCUGCGAAAUGAAUCAUUUGGACCCGUUCAGAUGCCUUUUUAUAAUACACAUACAUAUAGUUUUACUACUAGCUACAGAAUGUCCAAUUCGUUAUAAACUAAAGUGUGAUGAUGACAAUAUCUGUAUCGAUGAGUGUGUUCCCGGAUUUUUCGGUGAAUGCUGCGACACACCUUGUCAGAAAACUUGCGAAGGAUUGCGGUGUGAAAUCGAUCGGAACAGAGGCAUCAUUAAAUGUACAGAUGGAUGCAUUGACGGAUAUUACGGUAGCCGAUGUGUAAUUCCAUGUCCAGAGAGUUGCCUGCAAUGUGAUCGGUACACCCACGACAACUGUACCAAGUGUAAGGGCGGCAGAUACGGGAAACAAUGUCAGAAGGACUGUCUGAGAAAAUGUAAUGGAUUUGCUUGCCAUAUGUUGGGGGCGUGUUUAGGGACGUGUAUGGAUGGUCGAUUUGGACACAAUUGUAAUCAUAACUGCAGUUCAAGGUUUCUGUCUUGUCGUCAAGACACAGGACAGUGUGUCCAGUGUGCAGAUGGAUUUUAUGGGGAUAACUGCGAGCGUCAAUGUACAACCUGUAUUGCUGACCAAGAACACUACGCAUGCAAACCAGGUUGCAAAAGAUGUGACGUUACAUUGGCAGGUGUGGUUGUGUACCCAGAGCAUGAUUACUACUGGAUGACAUUCAUAAUUGGCUCAAUGAUAACAGUAGUGUUACUGUUUAGCAGCGUUCCUUUGUUAAGAUAUGUCUGUACCAGAAGAAGUUCACAGGGACCUAUUGCUGACGAAGAAAGAUUGAAAAUGAUGGAAUUCCCAGGCUAACAAAUCCUUUGAAAGUGACUUCACAGGAAUAUGUUGUCAUUAUUUCUAUUUCUUGGAUUAUGAGACAACUGUUACUGACUGGUUUUAGGAACUUCGCAAAUAAUACUGAGUUGAUUAAUUUCAAUUGUUUUUUAUCGUAACAGUAGCUUAAUGGUAUCUCACAUCUAAUGUACAUUAAAAACGUUUUUAUUG